This 743-nucleotide long non-coding RNA is filed under the name Pogona vitticeps (central bearded dragon). Its description in RNAcentral is "lncRNA (ENSPVIG00000006090.1)". The record is from RNAcentral. Lineage: Eukaryota; Metazoa; Chordata; Lepidosauria; Squamata; Agamidae.
UGCCUUCUUUUUUGGGAAAUUGCAGAGGAAUUUUUCUCCUUAUAGCCGAGCGAUGCUCAGUGUCCCUGCGCCCCUGGGUACCACAGUGCUUCCGAAGACCGGAGACAGGGCUGUGUCCAGCAGGUAUAUGAGAUCUGCAGAGAUGCUGCCGUCCGGAACCAAGAGGGAGAGUGUCUGAUGAAAGAAGAAUGGGCCACUUACUGCAGGGAAAAGAUUUGCUCCCUCCCGGAAGAUUACCGAGGCUAUGACAAAGUUCUUGGCCUCUGCCUUUGUCAAGCCGACCGCCUGGACGCCCUGUGCAACCUCGCGUGCCGACGAAGACAAAAGGGCAUUUUGCAAUUCGUCUGUGGUCAAGAACCAGCCUGGCUUUCCUUGAUGUACAGAAACGGGAGCCAGGUCAACAUUUCUUUGGAAGGCACAACGGCUUCCCUGCAGAACUUAGAUUUCCUCACCUGGAAGGAUUGCAUCCCUGAAGGGAACGGAGGAUCCCGCCCCAUCUAUGUAGUCAAAGCAAAUAGAAGCGGGUUCUUAGGCGUGUACAAUCCCGAACCAGAACUGUUACACGGCCUCCUUACCUCAAAUGGGAUCUUGCCAGACUCUCAAAAUGCAUGGCAUCCCCCAGCUUCCUCAGGUAUUUCUUGUGUAUUUCUAUAUACGCAAAUGUAAAAACUUGCAUUCUGCCCUUCGCCAGGUGUGCUGAAGUAGCCUGCAAUGUAUACCACUAAUAAAAUAAGAGAAAUAAU